GAGUUUGAUCCUGGCUCAGAACGAACGCUGGCGGCAGGCCUAAAACAUGCAAGUCGAACGCCCCGCAAGGGGAGUGGCGCACGGGUGAGUAACGCGUGGGAACAUGCCCUUCAGUACGGAACAACGUCGGGAGACUGACGCUAAUACCGUAUAAUAUCUCCGGAUCAAAGAUUUAUCGCUGAGGGAGUGGCCCGCGUCUGAUUAGCUAGUUGGUGAGGUAAAGGCUCACCAAGGCUACGAUCAGUAGCAGGUCUGAGAGGAUGAUCUGCCACACUGGGACUGAGACACGGCCC
Molecule: ribosomal RNA, 293 nt
Filed under: uncultured alpha proteobacterium 407ev
Lineage: Bacteria; Pseudomonadati; Pseudomonadota; Alphaproteobacteria
Description: partial 16S ribosomal RNA
Rfam family: Bacterial small subunit ribosomal RNA
Source: RNAcentral